RNAcentral lists this unclassified non-coding RNA (205 nucleotides) under Hevea brasiliensis (rubber tree). Lineage: Eukaryota; Viridiplantae; Streptophyta; Magnoliopsida; Malpighiales; Euphorbiaceae. The record is from RNAcentral.
AAAUUCUCAUCUUUAUCAGAAAUUAACGAAAACAACAGUUUUUUCAGUGGGAAAAUGAGUGAUUUGAAGUCGAAGUUCUUGGAUGUUUACAAAAUACUGAAAUCUGAGCUUCUUAAUGAUCCAGAUUUUGAGUUUACUGAUGAUGGUCGUCAAUGGGUCGAACGGAUGUUGGACUACAAUGUACCUGGAGGAAAGCUGAACCGUG